AACGUAGGACGCAAGCGUUAUCCGGAGUUACUGGGCGUAAAGCGCGGGCAGGCGGUCUUGCCAGUCUGAUGUGAAAUCUCCCCGCUCAACGGGGAGCAGCCAUUGGAAACUACAAGACUGGAGUCUGACAGAGGUAGGCGGAACUCCGGGUGGAGUGGUGAAAUGCGUAGAGAUCCGGAGGAACACCAGAGGCGAAGGCGGCCUACUGGGUCAGUACUGACGCUGAGCCGCGAAAGCCAGGGGAGCGAACGGG
RNAcentral lists this ribosomal RNA (253 nucleotides) under uncultured bacterium. RNAcentral's name for it is "partial 16S ribosomal RNA". It matches the Rfam family "Bacterial small subunit ribosomal RNA", at positions 524 to 776 of the family's 1533-position model. The record is from RNAcentral.